CACAAUGUACAACCCCUCAUUUCAUUGCUCUCUCUCUCUGUGCAAACAUGCUGAAUUUGUAUAUCUAAUAGUAUGUACAUGUGAUAUUCUGGGUUCUGUGUGUGUGAUAAAUCUGCAAAACUAAAUGUCUAUCAUACUAAAUGCUGCUUAUGUGUGUCCAUGUGAUGUGUCUGUAAUAUAUAUCUGUGUGACAUCUAAGCUAUGGAUAUAGC
Pelobates cultripes (western spadefoot toad) is the source of this 212-nucleotide non-coding RNA. The record is from the annotation of a GenBank genome assembly. Lineage: Eukaryota; Metazoa; Chordata; Amphibia; Anura; Pelobatidae.